This is a long non-coding RNA of Hibiscus syriacus, 966 nucleotides long. RefSeq lists it as uncharacterized. The transcript has 3 exons. The record is from RefSeq and is a predicted model, not a curated record. NCBI's taxonomy places the organism in Eukaryota, Viridiplantae, Streptophyta, Magnoliopsida, Malvales, Malvaceae.
CCCAAACCACCAAUUCUGAACACAAAUUCACCAAAAUCUCGGUUUCGCUCUUCCUUCCCCGUAUUUAUCUGUACCCCUUUUUUAUUUUAUCAAUAUAUUUUACUGAAUUGAAGUACCCAAGUGAAACAGGUCAAUGUUGCAUGCAAUCUCUGUUCCAAUUUCCAAAUACUUGCAUUUCGUAUCCAAGAAGCCGGUGUUUUGGUCCAAGGAAUCAAGGAUCAAGAAGACUUUGUUUGCGUGCUUCGUUGCCAGAUAAUAAUGGUGGAUUUAAAGUGGACUAUACACCAUGGUUGAUUGUUGGGUUGGGUAAUCCAGGAAUUAAGUACCAUGGAACCCGGCACAACGUUGGUUUCGAAAUGAUUGAUCAAAUUUCUCGUUCGGAAGGAUUAUGUUGAAUACUAAGCAAUCAAAAGCUCUGAUUGGAAUAGGUAUACAUUUUGUUUUUGCGUUGCUUAACUCUUUUAUUUGUUUAUUUAGCUUUGUCUGGGAUUCAAUCUUUGUCUUUUGAGAUUUGUGGUUAUGCUUGAUGGUUUACUUGGAUUUCUUUCAUGAUCAGUACAGGUGCAUUGUAGAAGUACCCAAUUUUGUUCGCAAAACCUCAGGCAUACAUGAAUUUCAGUGGGGAAUCGAUUAGUCGUACAUUUUGUUUUUCCCUUUUCUCAUGGUUAUGCAUUCACAUGUCCUUUUGCAGAAUCUCAUCACGUUUUGGUUCAACAAUUCCUUUUUUCUUUGGAGAUACUUGAGAAAUUUGUCAGUUUCAGGACUCAGGACAGUCAACUUGAGUUCUAUAAAUUAAGCGUAGGACUGAUCUACUGAAACUUCUUGCCUCUGAGCUGUUCACCUAAACAUUCGUGUAAAAUUCCAUGCAUGUUUGAAUUGGGAAUAGACAUUGAUAAAUUGUAGUGGUUUAUAUGAGGGUCAAUAAAGAAUGUGUAUGGAAUGUGUGCCCCUUCCUCUUGUAUAUAU